Molecule: long non-coding RNA, 882 nt
Organism: Diabrotica virgifera virgifera (western corn rootworm)
Lineage: Eukaryota; Metazoa; Arthropoda; Insecta; Coleoptera; Chrysomelidae
Exons: 3
Source: RefSeq, a predicted model, not a curated record
AAGAAUCUACAGGUCGAGCAAGUCUCGUAAAUUUCACGAUUGCGAGCCACGCUUCACGCAACCGUGUUUGCGUACUUGUGUUUCGAGUUGCGUGGUCGUGCGGAGUUAUAUUUACCAAAUUUAAAUAUAAUCGUUUCUACUGAUUCAUAAUAAUAUAUGUCAAUAUGGCUACUGGGUGUAAAAGAUAAAUGUUAUUCUAUCUGUUCUUAAUGAGUUUUAGAUAAUUUUAGUUGUAUUUCUUUGUAAUUUUGUGUUGUACAAAGAUUAAUUUAACAUUUUCUCUGGAAGUAUUAAUUUAGAAAGAUAAUAUGCUUCAAUGGUGUUGUGUUUUGAAGUGUGAAAUGCAAAGUACCUAAUUGUGAUAAAGUCAAGAUAAAGUUCACUUUUAAACUGAACUAAAUAAGGUAUCUGAGAGACAACAAUGGUUAAAUGCAAUACAAUGUACAGGUUUUACUAGCGAAAUGAAAAUUUUCCUGUCCUGUCUGCUGUAAUCAUUUUAUAUCUGGAAAACCAGCCGACUUAAUCGAUAAUAACAAUCUCCAGAUUGGGUUCCUUCAAUAAAUAUGGGCUAUAAACACAAUGAAAUAAGUUCCCCAAAAUCUAAACUGGAGUGGUAUCAAAGGAGAAUUAAAGGAAAAAAUAUUCAUAUUGAAAUUAUUUAUAAGGCACUGGACUGUCUUAAAUUCUACAAUAAUACUAGAAUCAGCUGAGAGAAGUGGUCUACAAAAAACCAGGAAGGAAACGGAAUAUGUGGCUACGAAAGGCAAAAGAAAAGUUUACAAAGCAAAUGUGACACAUUUUUUUGAAAUAUUUAGGAAUAUUAGUAAAUUGCAUUAAAAAAAUGUAUGAAAAGAUUUUGUUCAAUAAAAAUGUUUAUAUUUA